RNAcentral lists this ribosomal RNA (483 nucleotides) under uncultured bacterium. Its description in RNAcentral is "partial 16S ribosomal RNA". It matches the Rfam family "Bacterial small subunit ribosomal RNA", at positions 30 to 506 of the family's 1533-position model. The record is from RNAcentral.
AUUGAACGCUGGCGGCAGGCCUAACACAUGCAAGUCGAGCGGAAGAAGGGAGCUUGCUCCUGGAUUCAGCGGCGGACGGGUGAGUAAUGCCUCGGAAUCUGCCUGGUAGUGGGGGAUAACGUCCGGAAACGGGCGCUAAUACCGCAUACGUCCUGAGGGAGAAAGUGGGGGAUCUUCGGACCUCACGCUAUCAGAUGAGCCCAGGUCGGAUUAGCUAGUUGGUGGGGUAAAGGCCUACCAAGGCGACGAUCCGUAACUGGUCCGAGAGGAUGAUCAGUCACACUGAAACUGAGACACGAACCAGCCUCCUAAGGCAGGCGCAAGGGGGGAAUAUUGGGCAGUGGGGCAAAGCCUGUUCGCGCCAUGCCGGGUGUGUGAAGAAGCUCUUCGGAUUGUAAAGCCUUUUAAGUUGGGAGGAAGGGGAGUAUGUAAAUACCUUGCUGAUUUGACGUUACCAACAGAGUAGGCAGCGGCUAACAUCGU